This 252-nucleotide long non-coding RNA is filed under the name Pelobates cultripes (western spadefoot toad). The record is from RNAcentral. Lineage: Eukaryota; Metazoa; Chordata; Amphibia; Anura; Pelobatidae.
CAGAGGUGGGAGUACGGACAGAAGAUAGACGUAAGUCUUCAGCAGAUCGUAAGUGCCUAGACGAGACAUACUUGUGUAUAAGGGAGGACAGCUAGGUGGGAGCAGCAUUAUGUAGAGAUUUGAAAGCAAGAACCAGAAUUUUAAAUUGAGCUCCAUAUUUUAUAGGAAGCCAAUGUAGGGACUGACAGAAGGGUGAGGCAUGGGAGGUGCGGGCGGACAGGAAGAUGAGCCUCGCCGCCGCAUUCAUUAUGG